AUGGCCUUAGUUCGAAAGUAUGGCAAGCCGGACGUCUUCCUCACAAUGACAUGCAACCCAAACUGGGAUGAGAUUAGGGAGGAACUCUACCCCGGUCAGACACCUCAGGAUCAUCCAGAUCUCGUUGUUCAUGUUUUUAGGGCAAAGUUGGAGGAACUCAAGAAUAAGUUGCUUUAGAAGGACAUCCUGGGCAAGGUGAGGGCUUAUGUUUAUGUGGUGGAAUUCCAGAAGAGGGGUCUGCCUCAUGCCCACUUCCUUCUCAUCAUGGAGGGGCGGUACAAGCUCACAUGCCCCGAGCAAUAUGACCGUCUUAUCUCAGCCGAGCUCCCAAACAAGAAGAAGUACCCAGAAUUGUACAAGAUGGUCGUGAAGCAUAUGAUGCAUGGACCUUGUGGUGCUUUGAAUCGUGACUGCCCAUGCACAAAAGGCCGUCCUGCUUGCAAGAAUCACUAUCCUCGACCUUUCAAUGCGGCUACGUUGCAGGGCAAGGAUUCCUAUCCGUUAUACAGACGACGUGAUGACAGUUCUAAAGCAAUGGUCCGAAAGGAAUGGCUGGAUAAUAGGUGGGUCGUCCCAUACAAUCCGCACCUCCUGCGUUACUUCAAUUGUCACAUCAAUGUUGAGGCAUGUGGAAGCAUAAAGGCUGUUAAAUACCUGUUCAAGUACAUAUACAAGGGUCAUGAUCGAGCAUCUAUUUCUCUGAGUGAGUCUGACAAGGCUAACAAAAAUGGAGGUAUAGAUGAGAUCAAACAGAUAGGGACGCUAGGUGGGUGA
RNAcentral lists this ribosomal RNA (774 nucleotides) under Triticum aestivum (bread wheat). RNAcentral's name for it is "partial small subunit ribosomal RNA". Lineage: Eukaryota; Viridiplantae; Streptophyta; Magnoliopsida; Poales; Poaceae. The record is from RNAcentral.